Molecule: ribosomal RNA, 254 nt
Filed under: uncultured bacterium
Lineage: Bacteria
Description: partial 16S ribosomal RNA
Rfam family: Bacterial small subunit ribosomal RNA
Source: RNAcentral
UACGUAGGGUGCGAGCGUUGUCCGGAAUCAUUGGGCGUAAAGAGCUCGUAGGCGGCUCAGUAAGUCGGGUGUGAAACCCUCAGGCUCAACCUGGGGACGCCACUCGAUACUGCUGUGGCUAGAGUCCAGUAGGGGAGUGUGGAAUUCCCGGUGUAGCGGUGAAAUGCGCAGAUAUCGGGAGGAACACCAGCGGCGAAGGCGGCACUCUGGGCUGGAACUGACGCUGAGGAGCGAAAGCGUGGGGAGCGAACAGG